AAAAAAAAAAAAACCCUAUGAAUCUCUGUGAACGUAUGAUUUCAGUUUAUUUCAACGGUAACUGUACUUUUUUCUUUUCAAUUGGCAACAGAUUUUGCUUAUCUUCUCUGGUAAGUUUGGGAUUUUGAAUUCAAUUUGUAAACGGUCAUACUUCAUUUUGGGUUCUAUAAAUAGAAAACCUUCUCUUCAUUUUUGGGGGGGAUUUUUUCAGAGUAGAACAUAGCCACAAUGGGUUUUCACACCCACAAUGGCAUUUUUGACAACCCUCAAGAGUUCGAACACUUAGAAGCUCGGCAAAAGCCUGGAGUUUCGAGGAAUUUCGAGCUCGUACUUUAAUUUUUGGAAGUCAUUUCCGUUCGUCGAAAAUCGAUUCAGGUGAAAGGUAACCAUUAAGCUCUCGUCGCCCUCGUUGCUGCUCUACAAAAAGUUGCUGCUAAACUUGAAGGGAAGUGGCUACUGCUUGCUGUUGGUUUUAUGAGUCACAUUUGGAGUGAAUUUGCUGCUACACAUCCUAAUACCUUGGCUGCCGUAUUUUUGAGCUGUUAUGCCUCAUAAGCUACUUAAGUUGGUAAUGUUAUUACUGCCCUUUUGAGGUAAGUAAUUGCUGCCCCUUUGAAGGUCAAAUGAGUUAAAUUUCUGGUGGAAUUUUAGAGAGCAGGCUGCUGCUCUUUAUUGUUGCUGCUUUACUGUAGUUCUUGUCACUUGUUAUGCUCUUUUAUUUUGAGAUUAAGUUGUUCCUUGAUUUUGGUUGCUACAUUUGAUCCAUCUUGAAUAGCUCCUGUUGUGGGUUGUUUCUCUUUUGGCUGCUGCCUUUUUCUUGAUUGUGAACUUACUGCACUUGGAAGGUAUAAAUACCACAUGCAAUGAGUGCAGAGGCUAUGCUCUGAGGGCAUUGCUGCCUUCUGUAUUCAGCAGAUCACUGCUGUACUCUUGUUCCUAUCUUCUGAUGAAUUGUUUUGUUGUUACCUUGUUACUGCUAUAUGAUUGAUGAGCAGCUGUUAUGAUUAGUUGGUUGUUGUGGUAUUUUGAGCUGAAUUUUGGUCAGAUUUGAAGUAGAAAAUGGCUGCUGCAUUUUGCUUAAGUUUAAAGGCCAUUAUUGCUGCCUUUUACUCAAGCUUUGAGGCCUAUCUUGCUAUUGAUGCUCUUAUGAGAUUAUUGUUACCUUGCU
Molecule: long non-coding RNA, 1168 nt
Organism: Lycium ferocissimum
Lineage: Eukaryota; Viridiplantae; Streptophyta; Magnoliopsida; Solanales; Solanaceae
Exons: 2
Source: RefSeq, a predicted model, not a curated record